UACGAAGGGGGCUAGCGUUGCUCGGAAUUACUGGGCGUAAAGGGCGCGUAGGCGGCACUGUUAGUCAGGCGUGAAAUUCCUGGGCUCAACCUGGGGACUGCGCUUGAUACGGCAGAGCUUGAGGAUGGAAGAGGGUAGCGGAAUUCCCAGUGUAGAGGUGAAAUUCGUAGAUAUUGGGAAGAACACCGGUGGCGAAGGCGGCGACCUGGGCCAUUACUGACGCUGAGGCGCGACAGCGUGGGGAGCAAACAGG
RNAcentral lists this ribosomal RNA (253 nucleotides) under uncultured bacterium. RNAcentral's name for it is "partial 16S ribosomal RNA". It matches the Rfam family "Bacterial small subunit ribosomal RNA", at positions 524 to 776 of the family's 1533-position model. The record is from RNAcentral.